UACGAAGGGGGCUAGCGUUGCUCGGAAUCACUGGGCGUAAAGCGCACGUAGGCGGAUUGCUAAGUCAGGGGUGAAAUCCUGGAGCUCAACUCCAGAACUGCCUUUGAUACUGGCGAUCUUGAGUCCGGGAGAGGUGAGUGGAACUGCGAGUGUAGAGGUGAAAUGCGCAGAUAUCAGGAGGAACACCAAUGGCGAAGGCAGCUCGCUGGGACGGUACUGACGCUGAGGCGCGAAAGCGUGGGGAGCGAACAGG
RNAcentral lists this ribosomal RNA (253 nucleotides) under uncultured bacterium. RNAcentral's name for it is "partial 16S ribosomal RNA". It matches the Rfam family "Bacterial small subunit ribosomal RNA", at positions 524 to 776 of the family's 1533-position model. The record is from RNAcentral.